UAAUACGGAGGAUCCAAGCGUUGUCCGGAUUUAUUGGGUUUAAAGGGUGCGUAGGCGGGUUAUUAAGUCAGUGGUGAAAGCCGGCAGCUCAACUGUCGAACUGCCAUUGAAACUGAUAGCCUAGAAUCUAGUAGAGGUAGGCGGAAUGUAUCAUGUAGCGGUGAAAUGCUUAGAUAUGAUACAGAACACCAAUUGCGAAAGCAGCUUACUAUGCUAGUAUUGACGCUGAGGCACGAAAGCGUGGGGAUCAAACAGGAUUAGAUACCCUGGUAGUCCACGCUGUAAACGUUGAAUACUCGAUGUUGGCGAUACACUGUCAGCGUCCAAGAGAAAUCGUUAAGUAUUCCACCUGGGGAGUACGCUCGCAAGAGUG
Molecule: ribosomal RNA, 373 nt
Filed under: uncultured bacterium
Lineage: Bacteria
Description: bacterial SSU rRNA
Rfam family: Bacterial small subunit ribosomal RNA
Source: RNAcentral